UCCUGCACAUAAGUUCUUCCACCUAGUUUUUAACAAAAAUGGAAUCUCAAUUAGAGUGCAAUAAAACAUUGAUGUAUCAAACACUAAUAUACUAAGUCCAUGGUUUUAAUACAAAGCCAUUACACAAAGUAACAGCUGUUAAAUAAAGGUUUUUGGGAAAUAACAUUACCAAUGCCCCCUAUAACUAAUGGGUCAAUAGAUAAACACAAAGCAGAGAAUCUGCUUUCUUUUGUUGUGCAUAGAGCCAGAGACAACUUCAUCACAUCCAUGUUUUAUACACUACUCUUAAAUUUCCCAUUUCUGCAAAUCCUCAAAUUUUCAUCCUCAAAUCAUCAAAUAAAUUAUGCAAUGUGAAGGUUUUUUUGAAAGAGAGCAAUUGAUCUACACUUCUAUAUCCAUAUUUUGCAAAGGGUGACUUAUUUGUCUAUCUUCGUUUUUUUCCCUUAUUCAAUAAAGAAAAUUAUGUUUUAUGCUAAGUUGUUGAUAAAUUUUCGUAUGAAGUACUAGUUCUCCCAAACUAUAAGCUAGUCUUUCCUUUCCCCUUUUUUUUUAAUCUAUUUUCAAAAUUAUUUUUAAUAAAACACAUAACUGAAGCUACUUCAACUACUGAUCAUGGAUAUGGGCAAUUUGAAUAUGCACACUCAAAUCUAUAUCCACAUAAUGACCUUCCUAUGUUUUCAAAUUUCUCCUUAUUAGAGUGAUCAUUCUCCCAAGUCCCAACACGUUCAUGAUCCUACUACAAUGAGCCACACUUCAUAUGCCAAUUUCAAUGACACAUUUGAUAUGGGUUCUUUCUUUAACUUUAAACCAUCACAGUAUCAAUAUCAUCAACAAGCUAUUGAUCAAAGCUCUCAAAAUCAAGACAAUCAAGAACCUCCUAUAUAGGGGUGAGCAGUUUUCGGUUAUAAUCGAAAAAUUGAACCGAAUUAAUUUUUUUUUUUUUUAUUAAUUGAUUCAUUCGGUUUGGUUCGAUUAAUAAUUUGAGGAUAUUUCGGUUUUCAGUUUGGUUAAUUAAACUAAAUUAAUGGGAAAAACCGAACCGACCAAUUCGUUUAAUACCCACACUAUUUUUGCCAUUUUUAAGUUAGUCACACCAUAAGCCUCAACAUUUCUACCUCAAGCCUCAACUUCACUCUCAAGCAAUCAAGCCUCCUCCCUCGACUCUUCAUUCCCAAGCCCCCUCAUUCUCAUUCUCAUCUCCAUUCUCAAGCCUCACCCACACCCUCGCUUUAUUCCUUCCUCACUGAAGUGGCCUCCAAAUCCCAAUAAUCACUGUCCUCAUGCCUAGGCACUCCUUUCCUGUUUCCUCAAUUUCCCUCGGUCAUUUUAGUUUCCUAUCUCACCCAAAUGCAUGAUGGCUCUGCUUCUCUUUAGAGACCCAAAGAUCCACAUGCACAAAGACAAUUUCUCCUAUAUAAGAACCUCUUGACGCAAACGAAGACUAAUCACUGGGUUUUGUUUGUGGUUUUGAUUGCAUUGCUUCAAUUGGGUAUUUGAGAUUUGAUUGUUGGAAAGAUUGCUGGGUUCUGUUUGUGAGUGGGGGUUUUUUCUAUAUUAUUUUUUAUUCAAGUUUUUUGAUCCAUGGUUUUUUUUUUUUUUUUUU
This 1603-nucleotide unclassified non-coding RNA is filed under the name Hevea brasiliensis (rubber tree). Lineage: Eukaryota; Viridiplantae; Streptophyta; Magnoliopsida; Malpighiales; Euphorbiaceae. The record is from RNAcentral.